AAUAGAUACCCCGGUAGUCCACGCCGUAAACGAUGAGUGCUAAGUGUUAGAGGGUUUCCGCCCUUUAGUGCUGCAGCUAACGCAUUAAGCACUCCGCCUGGGGAGUACGGCCGCAAGGCUGAAACUCAAAGGAAUUGACGGGGGCCCGCACAAGCGGUGGAGCAUGUGGUUUAAUUCGAAGCAACGCGAAGAACCUUACCAGGUCUUGACAUCCUCUGCCAACCCUAGAGAUAGGGCGUUCCCCUUCGGGGGACAGAGUGACAGGUGGUGCAUGGUUGUCGUCAGCUCGUGUCGUGAGAUGUUGGGUUAAGUCCCGCAACGAGCGCAACCCUUGAUCUUAGUUGCCAGCAUUCAGUUGGGCACUCUAAGGUGACUGCCGGUGACAAACCGGAGGAAGGUGGGGAUGACGUCAAAUCAUCAUGCCCCUUAUGACCUAGGCUACACACGUGCUACAAUGGAUGGUACAAAGAGCUGCGAACCCGCGAGGGUAAGCUAAUCUCAUAAAGCCAUUCUCAGUUCGGAUUGUAGG
Molecule: ribosomal RNA, 529 nt
Filed under: uncultured bacterium
Lineage: Bacteria
Description: bacterial SSU rRNA
Rfam family: Bacterial small subunit ribosomal RNA
Source: RNAcentral